UUAUUUCAGUACAAAUAUACUUCUACAGUUAAACGUUAACUAGGGAACUGUGGUUCCACCGUCAAUUUUUUAUUUAAGAGAUUAUUAAUUUCUCCCAAAGUAUAUUUGUUACUAAAUAUAGAAACUAAAAAGUGUUCAAAGGUUUUAGUAUCAAAAUGGAUUGUGCACCUUGUAAUUCGGUAGAUAUUGACAGACUUUUCAGAGUUGCUUACUGCUUCAGGGUCUUUGCUCUUAUGUGAAAAUAGCUGAUAACCUCUUUGAUACAUGUGUAAAGUAUCGUCAAUACAUGAAUCAGAUCAUAUAUUUAUAAUAAUUAUACCUCACGCCAGCUCAGUUGCAUCUAUAAAUACCACCUGUUUUUAACACUGACUAAUUCUCCAGUUUUUAUGUCUUUCGCAUGAUUCUUAAAACACAAAGAAUACUUCCCUGAACAGUAUUAACCAAAUUAUCGCUUUAACGGCAAAGUGUUGUUUUCUUUGCGUUAAGGACUGAAUUAUGAAUAUUUAAAAAUUUAAAUCGAACUGUCAAUCUAACCUAACCUCCUAAAUAAAUAAUAUUUAUUGGAGAAAAAUAAGAUAAAAAUAUAGAAAAUAUAAAACCCAGAUCUACUCCAGGGCCAACAGUAUCUUAUCCAAUAUGUAGACUGGUUGUUUCGUCGGGGGUUAAGCUAACCUCUGACCUGUAUCUGGUGCCGAGAAAAAGGAAUUCGUAGUUAUACACCCACUGUCACACUUAUCUGCACGACGUUGCUUAAUACAGAACCUGGGACUUUGUAGAGUCGAAAGUAACUCCCCCUCCACUUCCCCUCAAUGUAAGGUAAACACCCAUAAAGGAAAGCAACGUAAGUUAACCUCAACAUCAUAAAGCGCAUCACAAACAAAGUCUAAACAUCCUACUACUAAUAAAAUUAACAGAAGUACAGUUCGGUUUGUCAGCAAAGAUUACAAAAGCACGUCAAGAUACCAAGGCUUACCUGUUUCAGCCACGUGCUUCUUUUGAAGUAAAACUACACACAGAUAUAACAAACAUUACACUUUUGCAAAGAGAACAAGUACUAUACCCCCACUCGGAAAGAAACAAUUGAACUGCAACUUCCGCAAUAUGGAAGGAGAGGGAGGGGGAUUACGAAUCAGGGUAACACUAUGAGCAAUUGGAUGUUGAAACCUGAAAGACAGUAUCAUUACAGAUAUAUGUAUAUAUAUAUCA
Zootermopsis nevadensis is the source of this 1206-nucleotide non-coding RNA. The record is from RefSeq and is a predicted model, not a curated record. NCBI's taxonomy places the organism in Eukaryota, Metazoa, Arthropoda, Insecta, Blattodea, Termopsidae.